GUUUUAAUAAUUUAAUCAAAAAUAUUGGUCUUGUAAACCAAAAAUAAGGACACAACCUUUUAAAGCU
This 67-nucleotide transfer RNA is filed under the name Heterotermes vagus. RNAcentral describes it as "tRNA-Thr". It matches the Rfam family "tRNA". Rfam says of the family: Transfer RNA (tRNA) molecules are approximately 80 nucleotides in length. Their secondary structure includes four short double-helical elements and three loops (D, anti-codon, and T loops). The record is from RNAcentral. Lineage: Eukaryota; Metazoa; Arthropoda; Insecta; Blattodea; Rhinotermitidae.